Molecule: ribosomal RNA, 433 nt
Filed under: uncultured bacterium
Lineage: Bacteria
Description: partial 16S ribosomal RNA
Rfam family: Bacterial small subunit ribosomal RNA
Source: RNAcentral
AACGAACGCUGGCGGCAUGCCUAACACAUGCAAGUCGAACGAGACCUUCGGGUCUAGUGGCGCACGGGUGCGUAACGCGUGGGAACCUGCCCUUAGGUUCGGAAUAACUCCCCGAAAGGGGUGCUAAUACCGGAUAAUGUCUUCGGACCAAAGAUUUAUCGCCUUUGGAUGGGCCCGCGUUGGAUUAGCUAGUUGGUAGGGUAAAAGCCUACCAAGGCGACGAUCCAUAGCUGGUCUGAGAGGAUGAUCAGCCACACUGGGACUGAGACACGGCCCAGACUCCUACGGAAGGCAGCAGUGGGGAAUAUUGGACAAUGGGCGAAAGCCUGACCCAGCAAUGCCGCGUGAGUGAUGAAGGCCUUAGGGUUGUAAAGCUCUUUUACCCGGGAUGAUAAUGACAGUACCGGGAGAAUAAGCUCCGGCUAACUCCGUG